Molecule: ribosomal RNA, 433 nt
Filed under: uncultured bacterium
Lineage: Bacteria
Description: partial 16S ribosomal RNA
Rfam family: Bacterial small subunit ribosomal RNA
Source: RNAcentral
AGCGAACGCUGGCGGCAGGCCUAACACAUGCAAGUCGAACGAACUCUUCGGAGUUAGUGGCGGACGGGUGAGUAACACGUGGGAACGUGCCUUUAGGUUCGGAAUAACUCAGGGAAGCUUGUGCUAAUACCGAAUGUGCUCUUCGGGGGAAAGAUUUAUCGCCUUUAGAGCGGCCCGCGUCUGAUUAGCUAGUUGGUGAGGUAAAGGCUCACCAAGGCGACGAUCAGUAGCUGGUCUGAGAGGAUGAUCAGCCACAUUGGGACUGAGACACGGCCCAAACUCCUACGGGAGGCAGCAGUGGGGAAUCUUGCGCAAUGGGCGAAAGCCUGACGCAGCCAUGCCGCGUGAAUGAUGAAGGUCUUAGGAUUGUAAAAUUCUUUCACCGGGGACGAUAAUGACGGUACCCGGAGAAGAAGCCCCGGCUAACUUCGUG